GUAGGUGAACCUGCGGAGGGAUCAUUGAAGAGUUAGGGCCCUCGCGGUCCGACCUCCAACCCUUUGUAUUAUCAACUCUGUUGCCUCGGGGGAGACCCUGCCGUCCGCGGCGCCGGGCCCCCAGGGGACCACUAAACUCUGCGUCUCUGCGUCUGAGUAAUUUUGUAAAUAAAACAAAACUUUCAACAACGGAUCUCUUGGUUCUG
RNAcentral lists this unclassified non-coding RNA (206 nucleotides) under rhizosphere metagenome. Its description in RNAcentral is "partial ribosomal RNA internal transcribed spacer region". The record is from RNAcentral.